This is a long non-coding RNA of Magnolia sinica, 758 nucleotides long. RefSeq lists it as uncharacterized. The record is from RefSeq and is a predicted model, not a curated record. NCBI's taxonomy places the organism in Eukaryota, Viridiplantae, Streptophyta, Magnoliopsida, Magnoliales, Magnoliaceae. The transcript is spliced from 4 exons.
GUGCAUAAUAGCUAGUGACAUAAGCUAGGGAUGGCAAAACAUUGGUCACGGCUUGGGCUCCUAAACUUGGCUCAAGGACCCAUUGGCAUGCUCCAAUCAUCAAGUGGGUCAUGGUUAUACAAAAGGAAUGAAUGAUUUAAACAUACUUGAAAUUGAUUUGUCUGAUCAUCAGUGAAAGUCAGUGGGCCUACCUUUUUCAUUUUUCUUUCUUUUUCUCAUAUGGGUCCUUUUCAAUUUUCUCUGAUGUUGGUGGGUUUUGAUGCAGGUACAUAGCCUUUGAUGAAUAUGAAGGGAUUGAGGUGGCAUGGAACCAGGUGAAGCUGUAUGACUUCUUACAGAGCCCUGAAGAUCUAGAGAAGCUUUACUGUGAAAUCCAUCUUCUAUAAACCUGGCAUUCAAUCGGCUGAGUCAGAAUAUUCCAUUCUCCUUAGCUUCCUUGAAAUCUCUCUGUUAUUUGAAUCUGAGUCACAAUUCCCUCUCCGGUUCCAUUGGGGACAUAUUUACUGGUCUGAAGAAUCUAAAACAAAUCUAAAACAAAUGUUCUGGACUGUGGUGAGAAGAUUGAGCUUCUGGUAGACAAAACAGAGAACCUCUACUGUGGUGAACCUCAAUAUCAUUGAGGGCCUGAACCUGCUGAAGGACUCCGAAAUAUUGGUGCUGAUGCCUUUUACUGCUACACAGCUCACCAAAUAUUGACAGAAGAAACCAGUCUCUUGGAAACAAUUGCAAUUAUUGGCGGUAAGGAAAUCAUUGACAUU